Long non-coding RNA from Ooceraea biroi (clonal raider ant), 709 nucleotides. RefSeq lists it as uncharacterized. Lineage: Eukaryota; Metazoa; Arthropoda; Insecta; Hymenoptera; Formicidae. The record is from RefSeq and is a predicted model, not a curated record.
CUUUUGUUUCCCGUUUCAGUGACAAUAUUAAACGUGGUUUGAAACGCUUCGACAUUAAUGUUGUUUUUAAAAUACCGAAAAAACUCGAUUGCAUUAUUAAAAGAGGUAAAGACGUCUUAACUAAUUUGCAAAAAACAAAUGUAGUGUACAGAAUAGAUUGUAAGGAAUGCAGUUGUUGUUAUGUAGGGCAAACUAAGCGCCACUUAAAGACACGAGUUAAUGAACAUAUUUGUGAUAUCAAGAAGGAUUUUAGCUGCCAGUCGGUGGUUAGCAAUCAUAGACUGUGUCAUAACCAUAAUUUUGAUUGGUGUAAUACUAAAGUUUUACAUCAGGAAAGUAAUCGCGGAAAUGUGUUUUAUCAAAUGUAAUGACAAUUCUAUUAAUGUUCAAAAAGCACGGAUAAUCUUCCUUGUAUAUAUGACUCUAUUUUUAAAUGUGUUUGAUGACUGUUUUCGAGAUUUGACUUUGUUUUGCUUGUUGACUGGCUUCUCUCUCUCAUUUGUGUUUCAUCUGCUGUGGUGUGUGACACGUCCUCUUGUUAAUCCGAGUGUCUUUUAAAGUUGUUUUCUGCCAAAAGCGACUUUUAUGUAAAACUAAAGUUUGGGGUUUUUUCACGCUUGAGAAGGACCGAAAUAGUUGGGUCGAAACGUUGCGUGAUUUGUCAUCACUGUAUAACCAGUUUGUGGUCGAAUAAAUAAAUUUCUAUAUA